RNAcentral lists this ribosomal RNA (635 nucleotides) under Oxalobacteraceae bacterium Se2Ps_612. RNAcentral's name for it is "bacterial SSU rRNA". It matches the Rfam family "Bacterial small subunit ribosomal RNA", at positions 379 to 1007 of the family's 1533-position model. Lineage: Bacteria; Pseudomonadati; Pseudomonadota; Betaproteobacteria; Burkholderiales; Oxalobacteraceae. The record is from RNAcentral.
CAGCCUGAUCCAGCAAUGCCGCGUGAGUGAAGAAGGCCUUCGGGUUGUAAAGCUCUUUUGUCAGGGAAGAAAAGGCUACGGAUAAUACCUGUGGCUCAUGACGGUACCUGAAGAAUAAGCACCGGCUAACUACGUGCCAGCAGCCGCGGUAAUACGUAGGGUGCAAGCGUUAAUCGGAAUUACUGGGCGUAAAGCGUGCGCAGGCGGUUUUGUAAGACUGUCGUGAAAUCCCCGGGCUCAACCUGGGAAUGGCGAUGGUGACUGCAAGGCUAGAGUUUGGCAGAGGGGGGUAGAAUUCCACGUGUAGCAGUGAAAUGCGUAGAUAUGUGGAGGAACACCGAUGGCGAAGGCAGCCCCCUGGGUCAAAACUGACGCUCAUGCACGAAAGCGUGGGGAGCAAACAGGAUUAGAUACCCUGGUAGUCCACGCCCUAAACGAUGUCUACUAGUUGUCGGGUUUUAAUUAACUUGGUAACGCAGCUAACGCGUGAAGUAGACCGCCUGGGGAGUACGGUCGCAAGAUUAAAACUCAAAGGAAUUGACGGGGACCCGCACAAGCGGUGGAUGAUGUGGAUUAAUUCGAUGCAACGCGAAAAACCUUACCUACCCUUGACAUGGAUGGAAUCCUUGAGAGAU